GCGGCGUCUCGCGGUCCUGGCCGGGGCGCGGGCGGCGGCGUUCCCGGGGCUGGGGGCGGGGAGGGGGGGCUCGGCCGGGCUCGCAGCCCGCGUCUUCUCGUGAGAGUGUCCCGGGUCGGGUCAGGGCCCCCGGGCACCGCCGUGCGCUGAGAGGCCGUCCGGCUGGGAGGCCUCCCCGGGCUGAGCACCCCCGGUCCGGCUGACACCCUCCCGGGCUGAGCACCCCCCUCCCGGGCUGAGCACCCCCCGUCCGGCUGACACCCCCUCCCUCACUCCCUGCCCCCACCGCUGAGUACACCCCCGCCCAGCAGGUCCCUGUGCAGCCCCCCCGCCCCGCCCUGGGAGGUCCUGGGGCCCCAGGUCUGGCCGUGUUCGCCCAGGCAGUUCACACGGGAGAAGGGAGAACGGAGGAGAGGGGCCAGGGUGGGAAGGACGCUUUGGGGGAGGAGCCGGAGCGCGGUCCCUGCCACCGGGGUCGCGGGAGGAGGGGCCGGGGCUCGGGGCUGCUGGACGCGAGUCCUGUGGGAGCCUUGUUGGGUCUAGAAGGGUGUUAGGAGUGCAGCAGGCGUGGGAAGCCCUGCCCGAGCCUCGGAUCUGUGCUGCCGAGAGCGCCGAGAGCGCUCCAGGCCCUCCAGGGGUGCGGCGUGCGGACGAGCAGGCGCACCUGCCUCCCAGCCCCGAGCACAGCCACGCGCGGGAAGACCUGGUGGCGCCCGAGGCUUCCGCGCCCGCACCGGCCACCUCGCCCAGACGGGCCUUCCCAGCACAGUCACGGUGAGAAAACCUCCAGGCCAGGGCGUCACCCGGUCCGGCAUCACCCUGGAGAAAGGCCUCGAGUGUGCAGGGAGUGUGCAGGGAGUGUGCAGGGAGCGCGUGCUCCUUGUUCAGCCCCACAGGACACGCACCGGAGACGCUGAGAACAGCCCCUGCGAGGACGUGGUUAGCCGGAGCCAACACGCACCGGGGCAUGGUCCGAGUGCCAGUGAGCCGUUACGGAGGGGUGCGUACCCUCAGCAGAGAGUGGCCCUGCGCGCUCCUUCCCCAAGAACCGUACUCGGCAUCUCAGCGUCAAGCCACCAGAGCUCUGAACCGUGUCUGUGGACGUCUGUGUUUUGUCUCAAUUUAUUUCGUGCAUCUGUUAGCAAGAUGUGUCCUAAGGUAAUCAGAAAAGCCUAAGAAAGGUGAUUUUUUGGGUCUGGGAACCCUCAAAAGUUUUCCAUAUAAAUUACUGGUAAUUGCUUCUUCGCUUUAUGCCAUUUCGGUUUACCAAAGGUUCCAUGGGAGCACUCUACUUUUGUGCGUGCGUGUUUAAAGGUUUUAUUUAUUUAUGCAAGAGAGCACAACGGGGGGGGAGGGGCAGAGGGAAAGGGAGACGCAGACUCCCUGCUGAGCAGCGGACCGGAUGGGGGACUCCAUCCCAGGAUCCCAGGACUCCUGGAUCAAGACCCGAGCCGAAGAUAGACACUUAACCCCCUGAGCCACCCUGCUGCCCUGGGAAUGCACUACUUUUGGAAAGCAGGGGAAACCUGUACUGGUUCUGUAGUGGUUGGGCCCUUCUCUAGGGCAGAGAAGUCCACUGAGUUGCCCACCUGCCGGAGUGCCAAGGAAAUCUGCUGGGCAGCUGCUUGCAGGGAGGGGUGAGGUUGAACUUGCUGGGAAGCUAGCUGGAGCGGGCUGGACUCCCUGCGACCGAGGCGGAGCUGCCUGCUGGGUGCUGCUGCAACUUGCUGGAGGUGGGAGCUCCCCUGCUGUCCCACAUCCCAGCCAAAGGCCAGGGGGGUAAGAAGCAAGUACUUUCCUCCACCCAGUGCCCCCUCUCGUGCCCUCUACUGACAAGCCUAGCUCGCCAGCUGGCAAGGAAGAAAGGUUCCAGCAUCACAGCCGAGCAACGGAGAAUGCGUUCGGGAGGGCUUAAAGGAGGGUUCAGCGAGUGCUGCAGCGUUCUUCUGCCUGGGACCCAGGCGCCCCUCCGGUCAAGGGGUCUGGGACUGUAAUUGAGCUACCUUCUAGGGACUGGCUGAGAGGCAGGCACCACCGCGGUUGUGACCCAAGGCCGGUUUGGGGCUACAAGAUCUAAAGUUUUUCCACCCAGUUUCAUCAUCAGUAUUCACGUAUUUCUAGGGGCACCGUGUUCCAUUGACCACUGUCGCAGGCCCCUGUGGACCAUGGUAUUUUUUUUAAAGAUUUUAUUUGUUUAUUCAUGAUAGACAGAGAGGCAGAGACACAGGCAGAGGAAGAAGCAGGCUCCACGCAGGGAGCCCGACGUGGGACUUGAUCCCGGGUCUCCAGGAUCACGCCCUGGGCCAAAGGCAGGCGCUAAACCGCUGAGCCACCCAGGGAUCCCCUGGGCCAUGGUAUUUUGAUUACCGGUACCUACGUGCUGUCCUUCGUGUCCCUGCCUGUGGCGGUUGGGUCCUGCCACCUGGUCGGGUCCUCUGCUCCUCCAGAUCCAUCAUCCCCAGUGAGGGCAGCCCAUCUGCCCAUCUCAUCCCCACCACUACAGCUACCUGCCAUGGGGAGUAACCAGAGUCUUCCAAGGAUGAGCGUGCUCCUCUCACUAAUGUAUUUCUUCGUGCCUUAGUGAAAAUGUGCAGUUAGGAGAUAAAGGUGCAGGUCGCGCAUGAUAAAUCGAGCCCGACGUUCCUCUUACCUUGUUAAAUGGAGGCCAUUUUUGAGUUUAGGUUUCCAUCAAGCAAUCCCAUAUGCUGUUAGAGCCACCUCCCGCUGCCCAAGUGGGUACCUGAAACCUGGAUUCUCUAGUAACUUUAUCAUCAUCAGUAAAUUUGGUCUGACCUGGUGUUAUAUUCCAUCCACUUUGCUCUAACACCCUUAGAAUCCACAUAUGUUCUCCAUAUUUCUACAGAUAGGUAUUAGCAAAGCCCUCCUGGUUUCCUAGGUGUGCAAGCUGUUCUGUCGAGGGCACAGUGUAUACCCGUCCCUCUGACGCACCCUGCAGUGUGACCCUAGGUAUGGGUCUGGUGGCAACAGAGGGUGUUGUGAACGAGUGUUCCCCUAUCAAGGCACCCACCUACCCUUGGCACGGUCAUCCCAGGACUUUCAAGCAAAGGAAGACUAAUCUUCUAAGGCACCACGGGCCAACCUCAUGGGCACAGAGUGACUCAAGGUUUAAGAUGGUCAGUUAUACCUGAGUCCGACCGCAUGUCUCCACCCUGAGUUUCACGAUCCUUUCCGGUCAGUGCCCUGGCUUUCCCUUGAGAAAGGUGAGGCUGUGAAUCCAACUGUUGUUCUCAACAAAUGCAGUUAAUGUUUCCAUGUGGCUUUUAGCAAUAGCCCAGUGACUACGACAAGCAGGCUUCCGUGAGAGCGGUCCCUGAAGAUCUCCGGUUCUCGCCAUGACUACUCAUUUUCUGUAAGCACUCUGGUGCACUGGAGAGGCUCCGUCCCACAUCGGGGUUUCUGUGGCAUCAUUAGCACCAUAAGAAGACGAGCUCAGCAGCUGCCGGGGCUCCAAGGCACUUGCUGCGGUCAGGAUCACAAUCAGCCCGAGGUGAUAGCUCCAUUAAUUCUUAGGCCAGUGCACGGCAUGGAUUACUGGCUUCCCAUUUCCCACUGGUAACGGGCUCAUCAGGAGGCUGUUGAGUACGACAGGUGUCAGGUGAGGAGUACGAGUCACUUCCCAAAUCCCACCUGUGCAAGCCUAUCCCUUGUGAUUACUCCUGGUACCGUGUGGUACCAGUCAGGGGCCAGGCCGGCAGAGAGGAACCAUCCAGAAUCCGAACAAAGCAGGUUGGAUAUAAAGAAUAUUAGCUAUUUCCAGGGAUUUAACUACUAUGUGGAGAUGAAAGAAGAUUCUAAGGAAUGCUCCGAGGGACAGUACCAAGGAAGGAACAAAUCUGGGAGGAAGCAAUCCCUCCCUAAGGGUGUGGAGAUUGAGACCUUGUUGGAGAUGGUGCCGUUUCAGCUCAGCAGAUGGCAGAGGAAUUUGAUGGGCUGAUCCGGACUGGAGGCGGGCCGUGUUUGUUGGGGCAAGAACUAUGAGCCAGCAGAAGGGAGAACCCUGCCACUGCCCACCCGCAGGUCCCAACCCCCCCACAGUGUGGGGUGUCCGCACAAUUCUCCUGGAAUGGAGGUGCUGUCAGACUUGCUGAGAAGCCUGCUGGGGCACGGCUGCCCUUGCUGGGGAGCUGCUGGGGAGCUGCUGGGGAGCCCUCCCCCCCACCGGGAAGCCCCCGCGUCACUGGGUGUGCAGCAGCCCACCGAGGGCCUGGGGAACAGGGAGGAGGGAAAGCAGGCGGGAACCAGGGAGGCAAACCUGCUGCUCCCCGACCCUCCUCCUCCCUCUCCCGACAGAGCCAGGGCCGCAUCCCCUGGCCGGGCCGUGGAAAGCACGGGUACUGCUGAGCGGCAAGUUAGGGUACCUUGAUGGACAAAGGCCAACCUAUGUGGACGGAGAAAAGAAACAAUGGCCCAUCGCACUUAGGCAUAGAUGGGAAAUCCUGAAGAAAACCCAGAAAACUUGCUUUAGCGAUACAUAAAAUACGGCGCGUUAAGACCGUGGGGCUCAUCGCAGCAGCAGGGGGCUGCACA
RNAcentral lists this long non-coding RNA (4548 nucleotides) under Canis lupus familiaris (dog). RNAcentral describes it as "lncRNA (ENSCAFG00000058754.1)". The record is from RNAcentral. Lineage: Eukaryota; Metazoa; Chordata; Mammalia; Carnivora; Canidae.